ACGCUCGACACCUACGGGGGGCAGCAGUGGGGAAUAUUGCACAAUGGGGGAAACCCGUACGAUGCAGCGACGCCGCGUGAAGGAAGAAGUAUCUCGGUAUGUAAACUUCUAUCAGCAGGGAAGAAAGUGACGGUACCUGACUAAGAAGCCCCGGCUAACUACGUGCCGCAGCCGCGGUAAUCUGAGCGGGCUGGCAAGGC
This 200-nucleotide ribosomal RNA is filed under the name uncultured bacterium. RNAcentral describes it as "partial 16S ribosomal RNA". It matches the Rfam family "Bacterial small subunit ribosomal RNA", at positions 328 to 539 of the family's 1533-position model. The record is from RNAcentral.